RNAcentral lists this ribosomal RNA (253 nucleotides) under uncultured bacterium. Its description in RNAcentral is "partial 16S ribosomal RNA". It matches the Rfam family "Bacterial small subunit ribosomal RNA", at positions 524 to 776 of the family's 1533-position model. The record is from RNAcentral.
UACGAAGGGGGCUAGCGUUGUUCGGAUUUACUGGGCGUAAAGCGCACGUAGGCGGAUCGUUAAGUCGGGGGUGAAAUCCUGGAGCUCAACUCCAGAACUGCCUUCGAUACUGGCGAUCUUGAGUCCGGAAGAGGUGAGUGGAACUCCUAGUGUAGAGGUGGAAUUCGUAGAUAUUAGGAAGAACACCGGUGGCGAAGGCGGCUAUCUGGACCGACAUUGACGCUGAGGCGCGAAAGCGUGGGGAGCAAACAGG